Molecule: long non-coding RNA, 1052 nt
Organism: Magnolia sinica
Lineage: Eukaryota; Viridiplantae; Streptophyta; Magnoliopsida; Magnoliales; Magnoliaceae
Exons: 4
Source: RefSeq, a predicted model, not a curated record
CCCUCCACCUCUCUGAGGUCCCUAACCCAUCUCCAAUCAAAACAUUUUAGCACUGUCCAAACCCCAUCGUUUUCGCCCCAUUGUCACUGUAGGAACUCGCUGCACCCGUUGCCGCUGCACUCAUUUCCAUUGUCGAUCUGGUGGUGGAUCCGGGAUGGAUUUGCUAAUUUCAGGAGAAUCAAGGGAUAUGGUUUUUGCAUAACCACUCCAUCAUCCCGAGCGUCAGGUUCUUGCAAGAGAUGAUAUCCAAGCCUGAAAUUGGACAAUCACAAAGGUUUUAUGCAUGAAACAAAGUUAAUUUUUCCCUUCCUAUGUUGCUUUACUAUUGAUUCCAAGUAGCUUUUUCUUUCUUCUUUAUAUAGUUUUUUAUAAUGAUUUGUAUUUUUUAAAAAGGUUUCUGGGAUAUCAAGCUAAUAUAUAUGGGUGGACCAGCAUGAUUUUUUUGAGGACCAAUUUAGGAGUCGUUAGACUCCCUACCAAAUCUCAGCAAUCAAUACAAUUCUUCUGGUGGCCCCGAUGGUAGAUGACCCACUGUGAGAAAAUCGUGCCAAUUGCUUGAUCUUGCUCAUCUAACCAUGGUACUUUUGCUUAAAACAUGUGAACUGUACAUCUUUUAAGGCCUUAGCUGUUGGUUUACAAUCCAGUCUAGAGCCUACAGAUUAUAUAUAUCAGGCUACUAAGAUGGAUCUAUAUGAGUAUGGGAUGCCACAUAUUCAGUCCUGUCACUUGUAUCUGUGUAUUGGGAGGGGAGGUUAGAGCCUCAUCAUGGACAACCAAUAAAAUAUUUAUCUUUGAAAUGUAAUGAAUGUACCAGGUAUCAAAGUGGCUGGCAUAAGUGCUCCAGUAUCAGUGUUGGACUUCUAUUCAAUCACUAUGAGCUUGGUUGUUGGAAACGAAUGUGGUUUGGUGAGAGAUGUUCUUUCCAUAGCUACUUUCUUCGGAUUUGGCGGCUUAGGUUAUUAUUCAGUGUACAUAGCAAUCUAAUUAUUUGUUGUGACACUAAAAUCACAUUAGUAGAAUGAUACGAACUAUUUAAACAUUGACCAUCUAAA